This 129-nucleotide non-coding RNA is filed under the name bovine gut metagenome. Its description in RNAcentral is "glmS glucosamine-6-phosphate activated ribozyme". It matches the Rfam family "glmS glucosamine-6-phosphate activated ribozyme aptamer", at positions 7 to 142 of the family's 167-position model. From Rfam's summary of the family: This entry contains a glucosamine-6-phosphate activated ribozyme that is found in the mRNA for GlmS. GlmS is an enzyme that uses fructose-6-phosphate and glutamine to generate glucosamine-6-phosphate. The record is from RNAcentral.
AUAAUAGCGCCAGACCGCGCCCCUCGGGCGCGGUUGACGAGGCGAGAAGUGAUCGAAAAUUCGGCGGAUGCUUCUCCGGUCGGAACCCCCGAUCGUUAAAACAGGUUCAAAUAUGCGGGCAACCGCAAA